RNAcentral lists this ribosomal RNA (253 nucleotides) under uncultured bacterium. RNAcentral's name for it is "partial 16S ribosomal RNA". It matches the Rfam family "Bacterial small subunit ribosomal RNA", at positions 524 to 776 of the family's 1533-position model. The record is from RNAcentral.
UACGUAGGUGGCAAGCGUUGUCCGGAUUUACUGGGCGUAAAGAGCGCGCAGGCGGUCGGAUAAGUCGAAUGUGAAAGCCCCCGGCUCAACUGGGGAGGGUCAUUCGAUACUGUUCGACUCGAAGGCAGGAGAGGGAAGUGGAAUUCCCGGUGUAGUGGUGAAAUGCGUAGAGAUCGGGAGGAACACCCGUGGCGAAGGCAGCCCCCUGGGCCAAAACUGACGCUCAGGCACGAAAGCGUGGGGAGCAAACAGG